RNAcentral lists this ribosomal RNA (424 nucleotides) under uncultured bacterium. RNAcentral describes it as "bacterial SSU rRNA". It matches the Rfam family "Bacterial small subunit ribosomal RNA", at positions 355 to 776 of the family's 1533-position model. The record is from RNAcentral.
UGAGGAAUAUUGGUCAAUGGACGCAAGUCUGAACCAGCCAUGCCGCGUGAAGGAUGAAGGCCCUCCGGGUUGUAAACUUCUUUUACCGGGGAAGAAAACUAUGGUUUCUACUAUAGCCGACGGUACCCGAGGAAUAAGCACCGGCUAACUCCGUGCCAGCAGCCGCGGUAAUACGGAGGGUGCAAGCGUUAUCCGGAUUUACUGGGUUUAAAGGGUGUGUAGGCGGACAAUUAAGUCAGCGGUGAAAUCUCCGGGCUCAACCCGGAAACUGCCAUUGAUACUAUUUGUCUUGAAUAUCGUUGAGGUAGGCGGAAUAUGUCAUGUAGCGGUGAAAUGCUUAGAUAUGACAUAGAACACCGAUUGCGAAGGCAGCUUGCUAAACGAUGAUUGACGCUGAGGCACGAAAGCGUGGGGAUCAAACAGG